UACGAAGGGUGCAAGCGUUACUCGGAAUUACUGGGCGUAAAGCGUGCGUAGGUGGUGAGUUAAGUCUGUCGUGAAAGCCCCGGGCUCAACCUGGGAAUGGCGAUGGAUACUGGCUCGCUAGAGUGCGGUAGAGGAGAGUGGAAUUCCCGGUGUAGCAGUGAAAUGCGUAGAGAUCGGGAGGAACACCAGUGGCGAAGGCGACUACCUGGCCUGUUCUUGACGCUGAGGCGCGAAAGCUGGGGGAGCAAACGGG
This 253-nucleotide ribosomal RNA is filed under the name uncultured bacterium. Its description in RNAcentral is "partial 16S ribosomal RNA". It matches the Rfam family "Bacterial small subunit ribosomal RNA", at positions 524 to 776 of the family's 1533-position model. The record is from RNAcentral.